GGCGCUAUAGCCAAGUGGUUACGGCGACAGAUUAGAAUUAACAAAGUGAUACGGAUGAUCUGUUCCUCUUUGAGGGCGCAGGUUCGAAUCCUGCUGGCGUCG
Non-coding RNA from Marasmius tenuissimus, 102 nucleotides. Lineage: Eukaryota; Fungi; Basidiomycota; Agaricomycetes; Agaricales; Marasmiaceae. The record is from the annotation of a GenBank genome assembly.